UGCCAGCCGCCGCGGUAAUACGUAGGGGGCAAGCGUUGUCCGGAUUUAUUGGGCGUAAAGAGCGUGUAGGCGGCCAGACAGGUCCGUUGUGAAAACUCGAGGCUCAACCUCGAGACGUCGAUGGAAACCGUCUGGCUAGAGUCCGGAAGAGGAGUGUGGAAUUCCUGGUGUAGCGGUGAAAUGCGCAGAUAUCAGGAAGAACACCUAUGGCGAAGGCAGCACUCUGGGACGGUACUGACGCUGAGACGCGAAAGCGUGGGGAGCGAACAGGAUUAGAUA
This 279-nucleotide ribosomal RNA is filed under the name uncultured bacterium. RNAcentral describes it as "partial 16S ribosomal RNA". It matches the Rfam family "Bacterial small subunit ribosomal RNA", at positions 506 to 784 of the family's 1533-position model. The record is from RNAcentral.